AUUGAACGCUGGCGGCAGGCUUAACACAUGCAAGUCGAGCGGAGAGAGGUAGCUUGCUACUGAUCUUAGCGGCGGACGGGUGAGUAAUGCUUAGGAAUCUGCCUAUUAGUGGGGGACAACAUUUCGAAAGGAAUGCUAAUACCGCAUACGUCUUACGGGAGAAAGCAGGGGAUCUUCGGACCUUGCGCUAAUAGAUGAGCCUAAGUCGGAUUAGCUAGUUGGUGGGGUAAAGGCCUACCAAGGCGACGAUCUGUAGCGGGUCUGAGAGGAUGAUCCGCCACACUGGGACUGAGACACGGCCCAGACUCCUACGGGAGGCAGCAGUGGGGAAUAUUGGACAAUGGGCGCAAGCCUGAUCCAGCCAUGCCGCGUGUGUGAAGAAGGCCUUAUGGUUGUAAAGCACUUUAAGCGAGGAGGAGGCUACUUUAGAUAAUACCUAGAGAUAGUGGACGUUACUCGCAGAAUAAGCACCGGCUAACUCUGUGCCAGCAGCCGCGGUAA
This 501-nucleotide ribosomal RNA is filed under the name uncultured bacterium. Its description in RNAcentral is "partial 16S ribosomal RNA". It matches the Rfam family "Bacterial small subunit ribosomal RNA", at positions 30 to 523 of the family's 1533-position model. The record is from RNAcentral.